CCUACGGGUGGCAGCAGUGAGGAAUAUUGGUCAAUGGCCGAGAGUCUGAACCAGCCAAGUCGCGUGAGGGAUGAAUGUCCUAUGGAUUGUAAACCUCUUUUGGCAGGGAGCAAAAUCACCCACGUGUGGGUGUUGGAGAAUACCUGAAGAGAAAGCAUCGGCUAACUCCGUGCCAGCAGCCGCGGUAAUACGGAGGAUGCGAGCGUUAUCCGGAUUUCUUGGGUUUAAAGGGUGCGUAGACGGUUUAUCAAUUCUGCGGUAAAAUCGUGGAGCUCAACUCCAUCCAGCCGUUGAAACUGAUGAUCUUGAGUGGGCGAGAAGGAUGCGGAAUGCGUGGUGUAGCGGUGAAAUGCAUAGAUAUCACGCAGAACGCCGAUCGCGAAGGCAGCAUACCGGAGUGCGACUGACGCUGAAGCACGAAAGCGUGGGUAUCGAACAGGAUUAGAUACCCUGGUAGUC
Molecule: ribosomal RNA, 459 nt
Filed under: uncultured bacterium
Lineage: Bacteria
Description: partial 16S ribosomal RNA
Rfam family: Bacterial small subunit ribosomal RNA
Source: RNAcentral